Molecule: long non-coding RNA, 329 nt
Organism: Rhodamnia argentea
Lineage: Eukaryota; Viridiplantae; Streptophyta; Magnoliopsida; Myrtales; Myrtaceae
Exons: 2
Source: RefSeq, a predicted model, not a curated record
CGCCUGAUGUCGGGAUUGUUUCGGGGAUGGUCGUUGAGGUUUGGUGAGGCUUUCGUCUGUUCACGUUAGUUUCAGUAUCGAAUUCUUCGUUUCUUCCAGGAAGGUUGGUUUACACCUUCCCAUGUGGACACGAGAAAAUGAUUGGACUGUAGUGGAAAUUUUGGAGUUAGGAUUCUAGAACUCAGGCCAAUGAAUACUCUGUGCAGGGAUCAAGCUAAUGGACUUAGUCUGUUCAAUUAGACUGAAUAAGAGAUAGGUUUCAUAAGGCUCAUAGCCUUAGUCUUUGCCUGCUUAUCAUCAAGGUGGAAUAAGAAGUCCCGGUUUAUUGC